CUCACUCACACGAAGUGUUCUGUGUGUCUGGUGGCUUCCGGGACAGCUCCCGAGGCAGUGACUCUCUUUCUACUUCUCAGGAGUUUAACUAGAAAUUGGAAAGCAUCGGGGAAGCUCAUGGAUGGCAAGCAGUCAAUGACUUUGCUAAAGUGUUACUAUCCUGUGGAAGAGGAAACUCUUUCAGCAAAAUGCCUGGCAAGCCUGGAUGAAUUGAUAAAUCCAGUGAUUUGCUUCCCCCCGGGAUGCUGAGAAAUUACAAAAAGGGAGAUGGUCUUUCUUUCUACUUCCAACUUUGAAGCCGGGGUAGUCAUUACUGUCAGGGAGCAUUAUUAACUGCCUGAAUUUCUGAUGCUCAGCACAACCCCUGACUAGGAGCAGCUUCCUUCUUUUGAUUAGCUCUUUCGUAUUUAAGUUUAUCAGUCUUUGUCUUUAUCAUGUAUAUACUUUGUGUCUAGUUUAAGAUCUGCCUUACUCUGAAGUUAAACAAAUAUUCUCCUAAAUCGUAUUUUGAAGGUUUUAUAAUUUUCUUUUUAAUAUUUGGCCUCUAACCAACUUGGAAUUCACAUAUAAAGAGUACAUAUAUAAAUUUUAGGGUUGGUUUGUCAAGUUCUACCAAAUAAACAUUGGGAUUUAGAUCUAUAGAUCUAUUAAGGAGGAAUUGAUAUCUUCAUGAUAUCAGGUCUUUAAUUUAUGAAAUGAUAUUUUUAUUUUUUUAUUUUUCCUUAGAAUGUUUUAAUAAAAUUUAUCCUCUCUUUAAAGCACUCUACUUCUUUGGUUAGUUUUUUCUAAAAAAUACUUUAAAAAGUAUUCUUAAUUUUUGCUUUUUAUUUUUGACACCUUUAAUUUGAAAAAAAAUUAUUUGUACUUUUUAGAUAUACAUGACAGUAGAGUGAAUUUUGCAAUAGUAUGCAUAACAUGGAGUAAAACUUAUUCUAAUUAGGAUCCCAUUCUUGUGGUUGAAUAUGAUGUGGAGUUUCACUGGUGGUGUAUUUAUAUAUGAACAUAGGAAAGUUAUGUCCAGUUCAUUCUAUUUUCUUUCCUAUUUCCACCCCGCCCUCCCUUCCCUUCAUUCCCCUUUGUCUAAGACACCUUUGAUUUUGAUACUUCAUAUGAGUAUCAUUUUUAAAAGUUUAUUCUCCACUGUUGUGAAGAUUAGAAGAGCAAUUGUUUUUUUAGUUUCUAAUAAUUUUGAAAAAAUUCUCAUAUUAUUUGUUAGAUUUGCUUAUUUUUUAUGUAAGGAAUCUUCUUUUGCAAAGAAUGACUUUUUUUCUUCUUUUAAAUUCUUAAUGUUUUUAUUAUAAACUUUGAUAUCUUCCCCACCUUAAUUGCCUUGGCUCUCUAGUGUAAUUGUUGAAAGCACGGUGUGAUGGUGGUUACUCUCUUAUUGGUUACAAUUUUAAAAGAAUAUUUAAAAUUCUUUAUGUAUUAUGUUUGCCAUAGGUCUUAUUACAUAAUACAUAAAAUUUUUUAUGUAUUAUGUUUGCCAUAGGUCUUAUUAAAGAAAUUCCUAUUGU
This is a long non-coding RNA of Sciurus carolinensis (gray squirrel), 1514 nucleotides long. RefSeq lists it as uncharacterized. NCBI's taxonomy places the organism in Eukaryota, Metazoa, Chordata, Mammalia, Rodentia, Sciuridae. The record is from RefSeq and is a predicted model, not a curated record. The transcript has 3 exons.